Molecule: unclassified non-coding RNA, 336 nt
Filed under: soil metagenome
Description: partial contains 5.8S ribosomal RNA, internal transcribed spacer 2, and large subunit ribosomal RNA
Rfam family: 5.8S ribosomal RNA (bases 1-120)
Source: RNAcentral
GAUGAAGAACGCAGCGAAAUGCGAUAAGUAGUGUGAAUUGCAGAAUUCAGUGAAUCAUCGAAUCUUUGAACGCACAUUGCGCCCCUUGGUAUUCCAUGGGGCAUGCCUGUUCGAGCGUCAUUUGUACCUUCAAGCUCUGCUUGGUGUUGGGUGUUUGUCUCGCCUUUGCGUGUAGACUCGCCUUAAAAUAAUUGGCAGCCGGUGUAUUGAUUUCGGAGCGCAGUACAUCUCGCGCUUUGCACUCAUAACGACAGCGUCCAAAAGUACAUUUUACACUCUUGACCUCGGAUCAGGUAGGGAUACCCGCUGAACUUAAGCAUAUCAAUAAGCGGAGGA